Molecule: long non-coding RNA, 799 nt
Filed under: Phasianus colchicus (ring-necked pheasant)
Lineage: Eukaryota; Metazoa; Chordata; Aves; Galliformes; Phasianidae
Description: lncRNA (ENSPCLG00000003794.1)
Source: RNAcentral
AUAAAUCCUCAGUAGUUAUGUUCCAUGAUUCUGUGACCUUUUCACCUUCCUCACUUAUAAACAUGACAUUGUGAAUAUGUUUUCAGUGUCUCUCUCUUUGAAGUAAGUGUUGUUUUUUUUAUUGUUGUUUGUUUGUUUUUUUUACACAGAGAAUAAUUCUUUUAACAGUUUACUGAUAUGUCUCUAUCUUUUUGGUUUCUAUUUUUUAUUCACCCCAUCCACUGUAAAUGGAUGCAGCAUUCAGGAAGCUGGCUCGUUACCCAAAGCAUGGAUGCAGUACCCAGGCCUAAGCUGCUCAGAGAGAAGCUGUGAGUUCUGCUGCAGUGAGAGAAGACAACUCUCAGUGAUGCCAGUGGGGUUUCUCUGCAUCCUACUUCCUGAUGGUGACAAGGCUUCAGGAUUCAACUCUAUUAUCUUUUCCCUCAUGGAAAUAAGAUGAUGAAGAAGAGUAUUAUCUGGGACAAAAUUAUUUUCUUUAGGAAAAUUUAUUAAGCUAAUUAUGUCUUUGGCCUCCUUCCCCUAUUUCUGGUCAUUGGAUGGUCUCCAUUCCUUGAAAAUUACAACCAGCUUAGCCAGUAUUAUAAUGCAGCCUUACAACACUGUGUCUUGCAAGUGGACAACUGAGGCACAGAAAAAUUAACAAUGUGUGGGAGGUCUGAAAGAAAGAAGCAGUAGGAGAUAAAUAUUUUCUUGCUUCCUAGUCCCUUUUCUAUUUUGCCUGAUACACAAAGCAGAGCAACUAUAUGCCACAGAAGAGUCAGAUCACAAUCUGAAAAAUAAAACCCAUCAGUUCAGCUCA